UGACAUGAAGAAUGCUGCAACCGAUUAUGCCACCAUUUCACCUGCUCUUACAAGGUGUCCUUCACUUCAAAGUACUGCAACUGCCUCGGCUUCGCCACAGGCACAGUUGUAUCCUCUCCCCAGGACAUCUUUUAGCAAACUGCAAGCUGGUAAUUCAAAUAAUUACGAGGUUCAAAUGCAAAAUAUUCUAUGAUUUUCAUUUUUGGUGCAUGUAAGCUAAUAAUGUGGCAUCAUGAUUAUGUGAAUAUCAAUUGGAUCAGAACUACCAAUUGCAAGGAGACACUCACUUCAGCGUUUUCUUGAGAAGCGGCGGGACAGGUACUCCUUCAAUCGUACUCCAUCAUUUUACUGUUUACUUUAUACCCCUAAGCUAUGGUAAGUGUAGUUAUGUGUCUGUUCCCUUUUGUAGGCUGGUGAACAAGAACCCAUAUCCUGGUCCAUCAACACCAAAAAUGGCUGAUGACGUCAAAGCUGACGUGAGUGCCACAACUUCACCAGAGUCUGGCUACUUCAAGGCAUCACCCAUUCGUCAAGAAGAUAUCCAACCAAAAGCUCCAGCUCAUGUUGCCUAAAGCUAAGCAUAUAGGAUUCCUUAUAUAUAUAUACAUAUUUGAUAAAAACUGAAUCUAGCUCUGUUAUUGUAAGUGACAAAGUGCAGAGGAAUACAUCUGAUCUGCCACUGGAGUUAGGUGUGGAUAGCAAGUGUACAAUUAAACAGGUCUCAUGGUAGGAUCCGUCCACUUGUUUCCCUAUUGCCUUCUUGGGCUGCAGUUUUGAUGUUUCCUAAACCUGGACCCCCUC
Molecule: long non-coding RNA, 801 nt
Filed under: Gossypium barbadense (sea-island cotton)
Lineage: Eukaryota; Viridiplantae; Streptophyta; Magnoliopsida; Malvales; Malvaceae
Description: long non-coding RNA (GBAR_LNC005862)
Source: RNAcentral